Molecule: non-coding RNA, 1414 nt
Organism: Salmo salar (Atlantic salmon)
Lineage: Eukaryota; Metazoa; Chordata; Actinopteri; Salmoniformes; Salmonidae
Source: RefSeq, a predicted model, not a curated record
UUGACGUGUGCAAGGGUCGAGCGAAGAGAGGGACGGAACCUACACAGUUACAUAUAGUUAAUAUACUGGCAAGUUCGGUGUAUUAGUAACCAAUUAACGUUAGGUAACUAGCUAACAUACCUACUGCUGUAAUGAUAUGCUAUGCGUUUUUUAAGGACAGCGUAGCCAACAUAACAUGUUGCGUAACUUAUUUGAAAAGUAAUUACUUUAUUACAUUGCUCAACAUUUUCUUAACAUUUGUCAUAAUUAGUUAAAGCAAUACAAUUCUAUCCGCUCUUGUCGAACUUCGGCUGCAUUUUUUGCCGACAUUCUUUUCAAAUCUGAAAACGUAGUGAAGCCACGCCCAUUUUAGGAAGAAUUGUAUUAUGGGCCCUAAACUCACGGAAAUAGUGUCCAAUGCUUGUAUACUUUGUAUUUUCGCGAAUGAAGUACGACACCCGGGAACUUUUGGCAUACUAACUAUAUCCUAUAAGCAUACUACAUACUCAAUUUACAUCACAAAAAAAUAGUACGGUUAGUAUGAGUAUUUGAACGCAGCUCAAAACUCUUCUCUUUGUUGUCACGGCCUUGUUUGAGUUUGCAGAGAUCUAUAUUAGUCUCAGUCAUUGGUAUGUAUGGCUGGUUACAGUAACAGUGGGAUAAACUAUAUAAGGCCAGCUGACGCUUAAACCGACUAGCAAAAGCCUAAAACUGACCCUAACCAAAUUGUUUAUACAUUCUGAAAUGAAAUAUCGAUUUGGGUGUCAGACGUGUCAUUUAUAGCCUUAACCAGUAACAGUGCAGUUACAGAAGAAGUUGAAGGACAGUUAUGUCACUGUGAUUGUUUGGUAACUCCCCUUGAUCACCACCUGGUGGACAUAUUCACGCUGCACUAAGCAGAGGGAAGGAAACUUUCAGAGCGUAGUAAAGCUGGGUGCAAGCAUUGCGGUUCAUGGGACAGUUGUGUGCUGUAGCAGCAGAACUCUUCUGAAGAGUGUCGUCAUCACUAAUCAGGCAAGCAACAUGUCUUUUGCCAGUCUGCCCAGAGGAAAGAUGGCCCUAUCGUCGUUGGGUGUGUUGACUGCAGGAGGGGCAGUAUUGCUCAGAUGCUUCACCAGACGGUGAACGCCUCAGAUCUGGAGCUUCACCCACCAUCUUACCCAUGGACUCAGUGGCAUGCUGUCAUCUCUUGAUCAUGCCAGUAUCUGACUUGGAUAUCAGGUGUACAAGCAGGUGUUUUCUGCCUGUCAUAGUAUGGAAUACAUGGCCUUCCGAAACCUUGUAGAAGUCUCGCAGACAUAGGCUGAAGUCAAGGUGCUUGCUGAAAAGGUGAGAGCAACUGACUUGUGUUACUAAAGCAUACAUUCCAAAAUAGAGUACCGUAAUUUCCGGACUAUUGAGCGCACCUGAAUAUAAGCCGCACCCACUGAAUAAU